UACGGAGGGUGCGAGCGUUGUCCGGAAUUAUUGGGCGUAAAGAGCUCGUAGGCGGUCUGUCACGUCGGCUGUGAAAUCCCGAGGCUCAACCUCGGGUCUGCAGUCGAUACGGGCAAACUAGAGUAUUGCAGGGGAGACUGGAAUUCCUGGUGUAGCGGUGAAAUGCGCAGAUAUCAGGAAGAACACCAAUGGCGAAGGCAGCUCUCUGGGACGGUACUGACGCUGAGACGCGAAAGCGUGGGGAGCGAACAGG
This 253-nucleotide ribosomal RNA is filed under the name uncultured bacterium. RNAcentral describes it as "partial 16S ribosomal RNA". It matches the Rfam family "Bacterial small subunit ribosomal RNA", at positions 524 to 776 of the family's 1533-position model. The record is from RNAcentral.